GUGAAUCAUCGAAUCUUUGAACGCAAAUUGCACUCUCUUCGGAGAGUAUGCCUGUUUGAGGGUCAGUCUUAAUAAAAUUCGGUGUGUUGCUUCUUUGUGGCGCUCUGGAGCUUGGGUCAUCUUAAUAUACUUUAGGUUUUAAGAGGAUUAAAAUUGACUUUUUUUGCGCAUUUUAGAUGUACAUAAAUUCUUUUUUUAUAUUCGUCUGUCUUAAUGCUCAAUAUCCUAUUAGAUGCGACCAUAUCGUGUGGUUUAGUUUCUAUAAAUUUUCCAUGAAUUGAUCUCAAAUCAGG
This 293-nucleotide unclassified non-coding RNA is filed under the name Rhizophagus sp. (in: glomeromycetes). RNAcentral's name for it is "partial contains 5.8S ribosomal RNA and internal transcribed spacer 2". The stretch from base 1 to 65 matches the Rfam family "5.8S ribosomal RNA", at positions 84 to 154 of the family's 154-position model. The record is from RNAcentral. Lineage: Eukaryota; Fungi; Glomeromycota; Glomeromycetes; Glomerales; Glomeraceae.